GCCUUUUGUUUAUAUAAAAGUCGGGCCUGCCCAGUGAAAUUAUUAAACGGCCGCGGUAUAUUGACUGUGCAAAGGUAGCAUAAUCAUUAGUUUUUUAAUAGGAGGCUGGAAUGAAAGGUUUAACGAAGUAUAAACUAUCUUAUUUUUAAGUUUAUAAUUUAAUUUUUUAGUUAAAAAGCUUAAAUUUUAUUGGUGGACGAGAAGACCCUAUAGAGCUUUACAUUAAUUAUUUUAAUGUGGUUUUGUUAAUAUUUUAAUUAUUAUUUUAAUUAUUGUUUUGUUGGGGUGAUGAAUAAUAUUUAAUUAACUUUAAUUAUUUUAUAUACAUGAUUGUGUGAUUAUUUGAUCCAUUAAUAUUGAUUAUUAGAUUAAGUUACCUUAGGGAUAACAGCGUAAUCUUCUUUAAGAGAUCAAAUCUACAAGAAGGCUUGCGACCUCGAUGUUGGAUUAAGAUUAUAAUUAGGUGCAGUAGCUUAAUUAAUAGGU
RNAcentral lists this ribosomal RNA (486 nucleotides) under Megaloprepus caerulatus. RNAcentral describes it as "partial 16S ribosomal RNA". Lineage: Eukaryota; Metazoa; Arthropoda; Insecta; Odonata; Coenagrionidae. The record is from RNAcentral.